AAAAUCCGUCGGACUUUAAAAUCUCCCCUUAUCCCCA
RNAcentral lists this transfer RNA (37 nucleotides) under Lachnaea marlothii. Its description in RNAcentral is "partial transfer RNA-Leu (UAA)". Lineage: Eukaryota; Viridiplantae; Streptophyta; Magnoliopsida; Malvales; Thymelaeaceae. The record is from RNAcentral.